Molecule: ribosomal RNA, 430 nt
Filed under: Pseudomonadota bacterium
Lineage: Bacteria; Pseudomonadati; Pseudomonadota
Description: Proteobacteria bacterium partial 16S ribosomal RNA
Rfam family: Bacterial small subunit ribosomal RNA
Source: RNAcentral
UGGGGAAUAUUGGACAAUGGGCGAAAGCCUGAUCCAGCCAUGCCGCGUGUGUGAAGAAGGCCUUUUGGUUGUAAAGCACUUUAAGCGAGGAGGAGGCUACUAGUACUAAUACUACUGGAUAGUGGACGUUACUCGCAGAAUAAGCACCGGCUAACUCUGUGCCAGCAGCCGCGGUAAUACAGAGGGUGCGAGCGUUAAUCGGAUUUACUGGGCGUAAAGCGUGCGUAGGCGGCUGAUUAAGUCGGAUGUGAAAUCCCUGAGCUUAACUUAGGAAUUGCAUUAGAUACUGGUCAGCUAGAGUAUGGGAGAGGAUGGUAGAAUUCCAGGUGUAGCGGUGAAAUGCGUAGAGAUCUGGAGGAAUACCGAUGGCGAAGGCAGCCAUCUGGCCUAAUACUGACGCUGAGGUACGAAAGCAUGGGGAGCAAACAGG